GGGUUGUGAGGUUAAGCGACUAAGCGUACACGGUGGAUGCCCUGGCAGUCAGAGGCGAUGAAGGACGUGCUAAUCUGCGAUAAGCGCCGGUAAGGUGAUAUGAACCGUUAUAACCGGCGAUUUCCGAAUGGGGAAACCCAGUGUGAUUCGUCACACUAUCAUUAACUGAAUCCAUAGGUUAAUGAGGCGAACCGGGGGAACUGAAACAUCUAAGUACCCCGAGGAAAAGAAAUCAACCGAGAUUCCCCCAGUAGCGGCGAGCGAACGGGGAGGAGCCCAGAGCCUGAAUCAGCAUGUGUGUUAGUGGAAGCGUCUGGAAAGGCGCGCGAUACAGGGUGACAGCCCCGUACACAAAAGCGCACAUGCUGUGAGCUCGAUGAGUAGGGCGGGACACGUGGUAUCCUGUCUGAAUAUGGGGGGACCAUCCUCCAAGGCUAAAUACUCCUGACUGACCGAUAGUGAACCAGUACCGUGAGGGAAAGGCGAAAAGAACCCCGGCGAGGGGAGUGAAAAAGAACCUGAAACCGUGUACGUACAAGCAGUGGGAGCACCCUUUGGGGUGUGACUGCGUACCUUUUGUAUAAUGGGUCAGCGACUUAUAUUCUGUAGCAAGGUUAACCGUAU
This 624-nucleotide ribosomal RNA is filed under the name Salmonella enterica subsp. enterica serovar Senftenberg. Its description in RNAcentral is "partial 23S ribosomal RNA". It matches the Rfam family "Bacterial large subunit ribosomal RNA", at positions 1 to 655 of the family's 2925-position model. The record is from RNAcentral. RNAcentral also lists the same sequence under 1 other name. Lineage: Bacteria; Pseudomonadati; Pseudomonadota; Gammaproteobacteria; Enterobacterales; Enterobacteriaceae.